CGGCUCCUACGGGGCGCAGCAGUGAGGAAUAUUGGUCAAUGGUCGGGAGACUGAACCAGCCAAGCCGCGUGAGGGAGGAAGGUACAGAGUAUCGUAAACCUCUUUUGUCAGGGAACAAAGACUGGGACGCGUCCCCGGAUGAGUGUACCUGAAGAAAAAGCAUCGGCUAACUCCGUGCCAGCAGCCGCGGUAAUACGGAGGAUGCGAGCGCUAUCCGGAUUUAUUGGGUUUAAAGGGUGCGCAGGCGGUCUGUUAAGUCAUCGGUCAAAGCCCGGGGCUCAACCCCGG
This 288-nucleotide ribosomal RNA is filed under the name uncultured bacterium. RNAcentral's name for it is "partial 16S ribosomal RNA". It matches the Rfam family "Bacterial small subunit ribosomal RNA", at positions 333 to 618 of the family's 1533-position model. The record is from RNAcentral.